Molecule: transfer RNA, 73 nt
Filed under: Ovis aries (sheep)
Lineage: Eukaryota; Metazoa; Chordata; Mammalia; Artiodactyla; Bovidae
Rfam family: tRNA
About the family: Transfer RNA (tRNA) molecules are approximately 80 nucleotides in length. Their secondary structure includes four short double-helical elements and three loops (D, anti-codon, and T loops). Further hydrogen bonds mediate the characteristic L-shaped molecular structure. tRNAs have two regions of fundamental functional importance: the anti-codon, which is responsible for specific mRNA codon recognition, and the 3' end, to which the tRNAs corresponding amino acid is attached (by aminoacyl-tRNA synthetases). tRNAs cope with the degeneracy of the genetic code in two manners: having more than one tRNA (with a specific anti-codon) for a particular amino acid; and 'wobble' base-pairing, i.e. permitting non-standard base-pairing at the 3rd anti-codon position.
Source: Rfam by way of RNAcentral
UUCCCGGUGGUCCAGUGGUUAAGACCCUGCACUGGCAUUGCAGGGGGCCUGGGUUCGCUUCCUAGUUGGGGUA